AUUUCACAAACUAGACACUUGUUUAGUUACAUCUGGGUCUUCCACUUCUCUUUCUGUCCUUGUUAGAGCCAGUUCUCCUUUGUCUUUGAAGACUGCAGUGUACACCUUUUUAUGAAAUCUUCAGUUUCUUGGCACUGAAAGCCUUUCAAGUCUUCAUUCCUCAAAACAUUGAUUGACUGACACGAAAGCUGUUUCUUUUUUUUGCCAUCUUUGACCCAUGUUAGUCCCGCCUCCCAGAGGAGAGAGCAACACCCCACUACACGUGAAGCCCCUAUGGAAUGGUCAGAAUGGGUAGGGGGUCGUGGGUGUGAGUACGGACGACAGAGGCAGGACUACCGUUCACAAGACUAUCUAUUACAACGACAGCAACACGGACCAAACAACAGAAGAGCAGCAGCGAGUGAAAGAGAUUUCAGAACUCUGUGGCUUAUAUGCAGGCUGAACCAGUUGCAACGACUGAAGUCAGAAGUCAGCUCUCCAACCAGCCCGAAAACGAUCAUUCAGCUGCAACCGGCGAUCAGGAAGCCAAUUACUAUUAAGAAGCCUGCAACCACCAGACAGAGAAACAAGGCACAAACACACAUACGAACACAGAGCAACAGGAAGCACUGGGGACGUAACGACCGAAUAUGGACCUUAAGACAUGCCAGUCUACUGCAUGCUGUGGCAACUUGAAAACAAACACAAUGUUAAGGUUCAUUUAACAAACCAAACAGCUUUCAGCUGUGUUUGAUAUCAUGGGAAGUGAUUUUCUAGUACCAAAUUAUCCAUUAAGCAUAAUUACUUACGAUAAGGUGUUAGAGUGAUGACUGCAGGAAAUGGGGCCUGACUAGAUUUGUGAUGGUGUCAUAUAGUGAUGGUGCUGUUUUUUUACAUCAAUAAUGUCCUGAUUAUACUUUGUGAUCAACUGAAUGCGACUUUGGUGAAUAAAAGUAUACAGUUCCUUCCUAAA
Esox lucius (northern pike) is the source of this 952-nucleotide long non-coding RNA. RefSeq lists it as uncharacterized. The record is from RefSeq and is a predicted model, not a curated record. The transcript has 2 exons. NCBI's taxonomy places the organism in Eukaryota, Metazoa, Chordata, Actinopteri, Esociformes, Esocidae.